AGCGCAUACGGUGGAUGCCUUGGCAGUCAGAGGCGAUGAAAGACGUGGUAGCCUGCGAAAAGCUUCGGGGAGUCGGCAAACAGACUGUGAUCCGGAGAUGUCUGAAUGGGGGAACCCAGCCAUCAUAAGAUGGUUAUCUUACACUGAAUACAUAGGUGUAAGAGGCGAACCAGGGGAACUGAAACAUCUAAGUACCCUGAGGAAAAGAAAUCAACCGAGAUUCCCUUAGUAGUGGCGAGCGAACGGGGACCAGCCCUUAAGUUGUAUUGAGAUUAGCGGAACGCUCUGGAAAGUGCGGCCAUAGUGGGUGAUAGCCCUGUACGCGAAAAUCCCUUUGCAAUGAAAUCGAGUAGGACGGGGCACGAGAAACCUUGUCUGAAUAUGGGGGGACCAUCCUCCAAGGCUAAAUACUACUGACUGACCGAUAGUGAACCAGUACCGUGAGGGAAAGGCGAAAAGAACCGCGGAGAGCGGAGUGAAAUAGAUCCUGAAACCGUAUGCGUACAAGCAGUGGGAGCCCACUUUGUUGGGUGACUGCGUACCUUUUGUAUAAUGGGUCAGCGACUUAUUUUCAGUGGCGAGCUUAACCGAAUAGGGGAGGCGUAGCGAAAGCGAGUCUUAAUAGGGCGUCUAGUCGCUGGGAAUAGACCCGAAACCGGGCGAUCUAUCCAUGGGCAGGUUGAAGGUUGGGUAACACUAACUGGAGGACCGAACCGACUACCGUUGAAAAGUUAGCGGAUGACCUGUGGAUCGGAGUGAAAGGCUAAUCAAGCUCGGAGUGGUUGAAGGUUGGGUAACACUAACUGGAGGACCGAACCGACUACCGUUGAAAAGUUAGCGGAUGACCUGUGGAUCGGAGUGAAAGGCUAAUCAAGCUCGGAGAUAGCUGGUUCUCCUCGAAAGCUAUUUAGGUAGCGCCUCAUGUAUCACUGUAGGGGGUAGAGCACUGUUUCGGCUAGGGGGUCAUCCCGACUUACCAAACCGAUGCAAACUCCGAAUACCUACAAGUGCCGAGCAUGGGAGACACACGGCGGGUCUGUUUCGGCUAGGGGGUCAUCCCGACUUACCAAACCGAUGCAAACUCCGAAUACCUACAAGUGCCGAGCAUGGGAGACACACGGCGGGUGCUAACGUCCGUCGUGAAAAGGGAAACAACCCAGACCGUCAGCUAAGGUCCCAAAGUCAUGGUUAAGUGGGAAACGAUGUGGGAAGGCUUAGACAGCUAGGAGGUUGAAAAGGGAAACAACCCAGACCGUCAGCUAAGGUCCCAAAGUCAUGGUUAAGUGGGAAACGAUGUGGGAAGGCUUAGACAGCUAGGAGGUUGGCUUAGAAGCAGCCACCCUUUAAAGAAAGCGUAAUAGCUCACUAGUCGAGUCGGCCUGCGCGGAAGAUGUAACGGGGCUCAAACCAUGCACCGAAGCUACGGGUAUCAUCUUAUGAUGAUGCGGUAGAGGAGCGUUCUGUAAGCCUGUGAAGGUAAGAUGUAACGGGGCUCAAACCAUGCACCGAAGCUACGGGUAUCAUCUUAUGAUGAUGCGGUAGAGGAGCGUUCUGUAAGCCUGUGAAGGUGAGUUGAGAAGCUUGCUGGAGGUAUCAGAAGUGCGAAUGCUGACAUGAGUAACGACAAUGGGUGUGAAAAACACCCACGCCGAAAGACCAAGGUUUCCUGCGCAACGUUAAUCGACGCAGGGUUAGUCGGUCCCUAAGGCGAGGCUGAAAAGCGUAGUCGAUGGAAAACAGGUCCCACGCCGAAAGACCAAGGUUUCCUGCGCAACGUUAAUCGACGCAGGGUUAGUCGGUCCCUAAGGCGAGGCUGAAAAGCGUAGUCGAUGGAAAACAGGUUAAUAUUCCUGUACUUCUGGUUAUUGCGAUGGAGGGACGGAGAAGGCUAGGCCAGCCUGGCGUUGGUAGUCCAGGUUUAAGGUGGUAGGCUGAGAUCUUAGGUAAAUCCGGGAUCUUAAGGCCGAGAGCUGAUGACGAGUGUUCUUUUAGAACAUGAAGUGGUUGAUGCCAUGCUUCCAAGAAAAGCUUCUAAGCUUCAGGUAACCAGGAACCGUACCCCAAACCGACACAGGUGGUUGGGUAGAGAAUACCAAGGCGCUUGAGAGAACUCGGGUGAAGGAACUAGGCAAAAUGGCACCGUAACUUCGGGAGAAGGUGCGCCGGUGAGGGUGAAGCAUUUACUGCGUAAGCCCACGCCGGUCGAAGAUACCAGGCCGCUGCGACUGUUUAUUAAAAACACAGCACUCUGCAAACACGAAAGUGGACGUAUAGGGUGUGACGCCUGCCCGGUGCCGGAAGGUUAAUUGAUGGGGUUAGCGCAAGCGAAGCUCUUGAUCGAAGCCCCGGUAAACGGCGGCCGUAACUAUAACGGUCCUAAGGUAGCGAAAUUCCUUGUCGGGUAAGUUCCGACCUGCACGAAUGGCGUAACGAUGGCGGCGCUGUCUCCACCCGAGACUCAGUGAAAUUGAAAUCGCUGUGAAGAUGCAGUGUAUCCGCGGCUAGACGGAAAGACCCCGUGAACCUUUACUAUAGCUUUGCACUGGACUUUGAAUUUGCUUGUGUAGGAUAGGUGGGAGGCUUUGAAGCGUGGACGCCAGUCUGCGUGGAGCCAACCUUGAAAUACCACCCUGGCAACUUUGAGGUUCUAACUCAGGUCCGUUAUCCGGAUCGAGGACAGUGUAUGGUGGGUAGUUUGACUGGGGCGGUCUCCUCCUAAAGAGUAACGGAGGAGUACGAAGGUGCGCUCAGACCGGUCGGAAAUCGGUCGUAGAGUAUAAAGGCAAAAGCGCGCUUGACUGCGAGACAGACACGUCGAGCAGGUACGAAAGUAGGUCUUAGUGAUCCGGUGGUUCUGUAUGGAAGGGCCAUCGCUCAACGGAUAAAAGGUACUCCGGGGAUAACAGGCUGAUACCGCCCAAGAGUUCAUAUCGACGGCGGUGUUUGGCACCUCGAUGUCGGCUCAUCACAUCCUGGGGCUGAAGCCGGUCCCAAGGGUAUGGCUGUUCGCCAUUUAAAGUGGUACGCGAGCUGGGUUUAGAACGUCGUGAGACAGUUCGGUCCCUAUCUGCCGUGGACGUUUGAGAUUUGAGAGGGGCUGCUCCUAGUACGAGAGGACCGGAGUGGACGAACCUCUGGUGUUCCGGUUGUCACGCCAGUGGCAUUGCCGGGUAGCUAUGUUCGGAAAAGAUAACCGCUGAAAGCAUCUAAGCGGGAAACUUGCCUCAAGAUGAGAUCUCACUGGAACCUUGAGUUCCCUGAAGGGUUGU
RNAcentral lists this ribosomal RNA (3269 nucleotides) under Pseudomonas syringae. RNAcentral describes it as "bacterial LSU rRNA". It matches the Rfam family "Bacterial large subunit ribosomal RNA". The record is from RNAcentral. Lineage: Bacteria; Pseudomonadati; Pseudomonadota; Gammaproteobacteria; Pseudomonadales; Pseudomonadaceae.